Molecule: long non-coding RNA, 392 nt
Organism: Oncorhynchus tshawytscha (Chinook salmon)
Lineage: Eukaryota; Metazoa; Chordata; Actinopteri; Salmoniformes; Salmonidae
Source: Ensembl
GUAGAGGGUUAGAGGGAGGUAGAGGGUUAGAGGGAGGUAGAGGGUUAGGGGGAGGUAGAGUGUUAGGUAGAGGGUUAGGAGGAGGUAGAGGGUUAGGAGGAGGGUUAGGGGGAGGUAGAGAGUAAGGGGGAGGUAGAGGGUUAGAGGGAGGUAGAGAGUAAGGAGGAGGUAGAGGUAUUAGGCAGAGGUAGAUAGAGGGAGGUAGAGGGUUAGAGGGAGGUAGAGAGUAAGGGGGAGGUGUAGGGUUAGGGGAGGUAGAGUGUUAGGUAGAGGGUUAGGAGGAGGUAGAGGGUUAGGAGGAGGGGUUAGGGGAGGUAGAGGAUUAGAGGGAGGUAGAGGGAUUAGGCAGAGGUAGAUGGUUAGAGGGAGGUAGAGGGAUUAGAGGGAGGUAG